AAAAGCUCGUAGUUGGAUCUCAGAUCCGGCCGGACGGUCCGCCUACCGGUGGUUACUGUUCGUUGCCGAUCGUUCAGGCGGUUAUUCUUGAUGAUCUUCACCGGUUGUCUCGGGUGACCGCCAAGUUUACUUUGAAAAAAUUAGAGUGCUCAAAGCAGGCGUGACGCCUGAAUAAUUGUGCAUGGAAUAAUGGAAUAGGACCUCGGUUCUAUUUUGUUGGUUUUCGGAACACGAGGUAAUGAUUAAGAGGGACAGACGGGGGCAUUCGUAUUGCGACGCUAGAGGUGAAAUUCUUGGACCGUCGCAAGACGAACUACUGCGAAAGCAUUUGCCAAGAAUGUUUCCAUUAAUCAAGAACGAAAGUUAGAGGUUCGAAGGCGAUCAGAUACCGCCCUAGUUCUAACCAUAAACGAUGCCAGCCAGCGAUCCGGCUGUGUUCCUCAAAUGACACGCCGGGCAGCUUCCGGGAAACCAAAGCUUUUGGGUUCCGGGGGAAGUAUGGUUGCAAAGCUGAAACUUAAAGGAAUUGACGGAAGGGCACCACCAGAAAUGGAGCCUGCGGCUUAAUUUGACUCAACACGGGAAAACUUACCCGGCCCGGACACAGGAAGGAUUGACAGAUUAAGAGCUCUUUCUUGAUUCUGUGGGUGGUGGUGCAUGGCCGUUCUUAGUUGGUGGGGCGACUUGUCUGGUUAAUUCCGAUAACGAACGAGACUCUAGCCUACUAAAUAGACGUUCCCUUCAACUUCGAGGGACGUUCUUCUUAGAGGGACAAGCGGCGUUUAGCCGCACGAGACAGAGCAAUAACAGGUCUGGGAUGCCCUUAGAUGUCCGGGGCCGCACGCGCGCUACAUUGAAGGAAUCAGCGUGUGCUUUCCCUGUCCGAAAGGACUGGGUAACCCGUUGAACCUCCUUCGUGCUGGGGAUUGGCGAGUGUAAUUGACGCCAUGAACGAGGAAUUCCCAGUAAGCGCGAGUCAUCAGCUCGCGUUGAUUACGUCCCUGCCCUUUGUCCACACCGCCCGUCGCUACUACCGAUUGAAUGAUUUAGUGAGGUCUUCGGACUGGCGCUCGGAUUGGCCUUCGUGGUCGAGGCGAUUGUGCCGGAAAGAUGACCAAACUUGAUCAUUUAGAGGAAGUAAAAGUCGUAACAAGGUUUU
RNAcentral lists this ribosomal RNA (1159 nucleotides) under Larinia jeskovi. RNAcentral describes it as "SSU rRNA". It matches the Rfam family "Eukaryotic small subunit ribosomal RNA", at positions 622 to 1803 of the family's 1831-position model. Lineage: Eukaryota; Metazoa; Arthropoda; Arachnida; Araneae; Araneidae. The record is from RNAcentral.